ACGAACGCUGGCGGCGUGCCUAAUACAUGCAAGUUGAGCGCUGAAGGUUGGUACUUGUACCAACUGGAUGAGCAGCGAACGGGUGAGUAACGCGUGGGGAAUCUGCCUUUGAGCGGGGGACAACAUUUGGAAACGAAUGCUAAUACCGCAUAAAAACUUUAAACACAAGUUUUAAGUUUGAAAGAUGCAAUUGCAUCACUCAAAGAUGAUCCCGCGUUGUAUUAGCUAGUUGGUGAGGUAAAGGCUCACCAAGGCGAUGAUACAUAGCCGACCUGAGAGGGUGAUCGGCCACAUUGGGACUGAGACACGGCCCAAACUCCUACGGGAGGCAGCAGUAGGGAAUCUUCGGCAAUGGACGAAAGUCUGACCGAGCAACGCCGCGGGAGUGAAGAAGGGUGUCGGAUCGUAAAACUCUGUUGGUAGAGAAGAACGUUGGUGAGAGUGGAAAGCUCAUCAAGUGACGGUAACUACACAGAAAGGGACGGCUAACUACGUG
RNAcentral lists this ribosomal RNA (496 nucleotides) under uncultured bacterium. Its description in RNAcentral is "partial 16S ribosomal RNA". It matches the Rfam family "Bacterial small subunit ribosomal RNA", at positions 29 to 507 of the family's 1533-position model. The record is from RNAcentral.